RNAcentral lists this ribosomal RNA (420 nucleotides) under uncultured Paeniglutamicibacter sp. RNAcentral's name for it is "bacterial SSU rRNA". It matches the Rfam family "Bacterial small subunit ribosomal RNA", at positions 358 to 790 of the family's 1533-position model. The record is from RNAcentral. Lineage: Bacteria; Bacillati; Actinomycetota; Actinomycetes; Micrococcales; Micrococcaceae.
GGAAUAUUGCACAAUGGGCGAAAGCCUGAUGCAGCGACGCCGCGUGAGGGAUGACGGCCUUCGGGUUGUAAACCUCUUUCAGUAGGGAAGAAGCGAAAGUGACGGUACCUGCAGAAGAAGCGCCGGCUAACUACGUGCCAGCAGCCGCGGUAAUACGUAGGGCGCAAGCGUUAUCCGGAAUUAUUGGGCGUAAAGAGCUCGUAGGCGGUUUGUCGCGUCUAUCGUGAAAGUCCGAGGCUCAACCUCGGAUCUGCGGUGGGUACGGGCAGACUAGAGUGAUGUAGGGGAGACUGGAAUUCCUGGUGUAGCGGUGAAAUGCGCAGAUAUCAGGAGGAACACCGAUGGCGAAGGCAGGUCUCUGGGCAUUAACUGACGCUGAGGAGCGAAAGCAUGGGGAGCGAACAGGAUUAGAUACCCCAG